This 473-nucleotide ribosomal RNA is filed under the name uncultured bacterium. RNAcentral's name for it is "bacterial SSU rRNA". It matches the Rfam family "Bacterial small subunit ribosomal RNA", at positions 335 to 802 of the family's 1533-position model. The record is from RNAcentral.
ACUCCUACGGGAGGCAUCAGUAGGGAAUCUUCCACAAUGGACGAAAGUCUGAUGGAGCAACGCCGCGUGAGUGAAGAAGGGUUUCGGCUCGUAAAACUCUGUUGUUAAAGAAGAACAUAUCUGAGAGUAACUGUUCAGGUAUUGACGGUAUUUAACCAGAAAGCCACGGCUAACUACGUGCCAGCAGCCGCGGUAAUACGUAGGUGGCAAGCGUUGUCCGGAUUUAUUGGGCGUAAAGCGAGCGCAGGCGGUUUUUAAGUCUGAUGUGAAAGCCUUCGGCUCAACCGAAGAAGUGCAUCGGAAACUGGGAAACUUGAGUGCAGAAGAGGACAGUGGAACUCCAUGUGUAGCGGUGAAAUGCGUAGAUAUAUGGAAGAACACCAGUGGCGAAGGCGGCUGUCUGGUCUGUAACUGACGCUGAGGCUCGAAAGUAUGGGUAGCAAACAGGAUUAGAUACCCCUGGUAGGAUAGCG